GACGAACGCUGGCGGCGUGCUUAACACAUGCAAGUCGAACGGAAAGGCCUGCUUUCCCUUGUGGAUUGCGGGUACUCGAGUGGCGAACGGGUGAGUAACACGUGAGUGAUCUGCCCCCAACUUGGGUAUAAGCCUGGGAAACUGGGUCUAAUUCUCGAUAGGACUGCAGGGUUGUGUCUGUGGUGGCAAACGUUCUUCUAGUGGUUGGGGAUGAGCUCGCGGCCUAUCAGCUUGUUGGUGGGGUAAUGGCCUACCAAGGCGGCGACGGGUAGCCGGCCUGAGAGGGUGGACGGCCACAUUGAGACUGGGAUACGGCCCAGACUCCUACGGGAAGCAGCAGUGGGGAAUAUUGGACAAUGGGCGGAAGCCUGAUGCAGCGACGCCGCGUGGGGGAUGACGGCCUUCGGGUAGUAAACUCCUUUCGACCGCGAGGAAGCCACCUGGUUGGAAGGGUGGUGACGGUAGUGGUAGAAGAAGCACCGGCUAACUACGUG
Molecule: ribosomal RNA, 494 nt
Filed under: uncultured bacterium
Lineage: Bacteria
Description: partial 16S ribosomal RNA
Rfam family: Bacterial small subunit ribosomal RNA
Source: RNAcentral